RNAcentral lists this ribosomal RNA (253 nucleotides) under uncultured bacterium. RNAcentral describes it as "partial 16S ribosomal RNA". It matches the Rfam family "Bacterial small subunit ribosomal RNA", at positions 524 to 776 of the family's 1533-position model. The record is from RNAcentral.
UACGUAGGGUGCGAGCGUUGCCCGGAUUUAUUGGGCGUAAAGGGCGCGUAGGCGGCUCUGCACGUUCGUUGUGAAAUCGCCCGGCUCAACUGGGCGGGGUCAGCGGAUACGGCAGAGCUUGAGCAAGCUAGGGGGCAAUGGAAUUCCCGGUGUAGUGGUGGAAUGCGUAGAUAUCGGGAGGAACACCAGUGGCGAAGGCGGCCUUCUGGACGGAUACUGACGCUGAGACGCGAAAGCGUGGGGAGCAAACAGG